GGUAGCGUGGCCGAGCGGUCCAAGGCGCUGGGUUAAGGUUCCAGUCUCUGCGGGGGCGUGGGUUCCAAUCCCACCGCUGCCA
Molecule: transfer RNA, 82 nt
Organism: Loxodonta africana (African savanna elephant)
Lineage: Eukaryota; Metazoa; Chordata; Mammalia; Proboscidea; Elephantidae
Rfam family: tRNA
About the family: Transfer RNA (tRNA) molecules are approximately 80 nucleotides in length.
Source: Rfam